GAUGAACGCUGGCGGCGUGCCUAAUACAUGCAAGUCGAGCGAACAGACGAGGAGCUUGCUCCUCUGACGUUAGCGGCUGACGGGUGAGUAACACGUGGAUAACCUACCUAUAAGACUGGGAUAACUUCGGGAAACCGGAGCUAAUACCGGAUAAUAUAUUGAACCGCAUGGUUCAAUAGUGAAAGACGGUUUUGCUGUCACUUAUAGAUGGAUCCGCGCCGCAUUAGCUAGUUGGUAAGGUAACGGCUUACCAAGGCAACGAUGCGUAGCCGACCUGAGAGGGUGAUCGGCCACACUGGAACUGAGACACGGUCCAGACUCCUACGGGAGGCAGCAGUAGGGAAUCUUCCGCAAAGGGCGAAAGCUUGACGGAGCAACGCCGCGUGAGUGAUGAAGGUCUUCGGAUCGUAAAACUCUGUUAUUAGGGAAGAACAAAUGUGUAAGUAACUAUGCACGUCUUGACGGUACCUAAUCAGAAAGCCACGGCUAACUACGUG
Molecule: ribosomal RNA, 497 nt
Filed under: uncultured bacterium
Lineage: Bacteria
Description: partial 16S ribosomal RNA
Rfam family: Bacterial small subunit ribosomal RNA
Source: RNAcentral